CUCUUUGCCUAAAAUUAAUACUUCGAUAUGAUCCGGUCGACAUUUGUAAUGAAAUAUCUAUGGUUCUAAAGAUUUUAUAAUUUAUGGGGUUGGUUAAUCUGUAUUGUAUUUGUUUAUUUUUCGUUUUGAAUUGUCAAGUCACGAGUACAUUAGUGGUCUGUAGUUGUUAAGAAAAUGUAUGCGUUAAUAUUUCUGUUUUUCUCAUGUCUUCAUGCUGCGCACGCAGCUAGCAGCUUCGACUUUGGCGACGCAUUUGCGUUGAUUUUAGGAAUUAUUAUUACCAUUGUUGGUUUUCUAGCAUGCGUUGGUUGUUAUGCGAGAAAAAGGCAAGGCCUGGAAUCAUUGUAAUUUACUGAUGCAGUUUGGUGGAGCAAAUGGAGUUCCAGAUGACCGCUGCUUCGAAACGAGGGACUGCCGCAACUUAUUGUGAUAAUGGCUGUUGGACUAAAGUUAUUUUCGAUUGCAUUUAAUGCAACUUGUCAUGAGCUUGUUAACAAAAUGUUAAGCAUUCUAAAAAGGUUAAUAUAGUAUUUUAAGGUAAUUUUGUAUUAUUCCUGUUCAGCAAUGUAACAUGAUAAUGGUGAGUAGUGGUGUGACAACUGACGGGCAUUCUGUGAUAUGUCCCACGUUCGUGUACAGCUUGCAGUGUCAAUCAUUUAUGACAUUCCUGAUCCUUUAUAUUUCACUGGUAUGUAAUUUGAUUUGGGCUGUAUGAAAUGUUUAAGAAAUGAUAUAUUUUGUAAUCUUACACACAAUUAAUAGAUAUGUUUGUAUGCAAAAUUUACAUAUGAUAAAAUAUUUGUGACAAAAUAAUAUGAUUUUUUUAAUAUUGUUAAAAAGUUUCAUCUUAAGUGACCUAACAUAUAAAUAUGUAUGUACAUAUAUACAAAUUCUGUUUUCAUUGGGACCAGAAACUAAAUAAAACAAUAAUUCAGAAAAAA
Molecule: long non-coding RNA, 941 nt
Organism: Bacillus rossius redtenbacheri
Lineage: Eukaryota; Metazoa; Arthropoda; Insecta; Phasmatodea; Bacillidae
Exons: 2
Source: RefSeq, a predicted model, not a curated record